RNAcentral lists this ribosomal RNA (347 nucleotides) under uncultured Winogradskyella sp. RNAcentral describes it as "bacterial SSU rRNA". It matches the Rfam family "Bacterial small subunit ribosomal RNA", at positions 381 to 725 of the family's 1533-position model. Lineage: Bacteria; Pseudomonadati; Bacteroidota; Flavobacteriia; Flavobacteriales; Flavobacteriaceae. The record is from RNAcentral.
CUCUGAUCCAGCCAUGCCGCGUGCAGGAAGACUGCCCUAUGGGUUGUAAACUGCUUUUAUACAGGAAGAAACCCCCCUACGUGUAGGGGGCUGACGGUACUGUAAGAAUAAGGAUCGGCUAACUCCGUGCCAGCAGCCGCGGUAAUACGGAGGAUCCAAGCGUUAUCCGGAAUCAUUGGGUUUAAAGGGUCCGUAGGUGGAUAAUUAAGUCAGAGGUGAAAUCCUGCAGCUCAACUGUAGAACUGCCUUUGAUACUGGUUAUCUUGAAUUAUUGUGAAGUAGUUAGAAUAUGUAGUGUAGCGGUGAAAUGCAUAGAUAUUACAUAGAAUACCGAUUGCGAAGGCAGA